AGCUCUCAGCUAUGGGCCUGACAUUCGUUUUCUGCUAACAGUGACAUGAACAAAACUUUGUUUGUCUCAAGAUUCAUGAGAAGUGAAUACAAAAUGGGUGAAGAUCAAUAAAAUCCUACUUUUAUGGUAACUUCCUAAAGCACCAGAAAUAAAGAGUUAUCAUUUCAGUCACAUUAAAGGAGCAAAAAGGGACAAUUGUAUGCCGAGACAUCGAAAGCAGUUACUAAUCCAAUACUUCCAGAUGAAAUAUUCAGACCUUCAAUAAAGGAGAAGAAAGAAGUUAGAAAUGAAUGGCUUCCAGACUGUCACCUGAGUCACUGCCAAAUUUUAUCCUAUGUAAAGUAAAGAAACUCAACAUCUGCAACAGAAAUAGAGAAUAAACACCAUCAGCUGAAGACGCAAAUGAAUUCAGAAAAUCUUUGAUUCCAAAUUUCUGUUCUUAAGUCUCUCCACUGCUCUAUGCACCAG
Molecule: long non-coding RNA, 468 nt
Organism: Mauremys reevesii (Reeves's turtle)
Lineage: Eukaryota; Metazoa; Chordata; Testudines; Geoemydidae
Exons: 3
Source: RefSeq, a predicted model, not a curated record